RNAcentral lists this ribosomal RNA (286 nucleotides) under uncultured Rickettsia sp. RNAcentral's name for it is "partial 16S ribosomal RNA". It matches the Rfam family "Bacterial small subunit ribosomal RNA", at positions 32 to 331 of the family's 1533-position model. The record is from RNAcentral. Lineage: Bacteria; Pseudomonadati; Pseudomonadota; Alphaproteobacteria; Rickettsiales; Rickettsiaceae.
AAACGCUGGCGGCAUGCCUAACACAUGCAAGUCGAACGGACUAAUUGGGGCUUGCUCCAAUUAGUUAGUGGCAGACGGGUGAGUAACAUGUGGGAAUCUACCCAUCAGUACGGAAUAACUUUUAGAAAUAAAAGCUAAUACCGUAUAUUCUCUACGGAGGAAAGAUUUAUCGCUGAUGGAUGAGCCCGCGUCAGAUUAGGUAGUUGGUGAGGUAAUGGCUCACCAAGCCGACGAUCUGUAGCUGGUCUGAGAGGAUGACCAGCCACACUGGGACUGAGACACGUCC